RNAcentral lists this ribosomal RNA (311 nucleotides) under uncultured Haptoria. Its description in RNAcentral is "SSU rRNA". It matches the Rfam family "Eukaryotic small subunit ribosomal RNA", at positions 585 to 972 of the family's 1831-position model. Lineage: Eukaryota; Ciliophora; Litostomatea. The record is from RNAcentral.
CCAGCUCCAAUAGCGUAUAUUAAAGUUGUUGCAGUUAAAAAGCUCGUAGUUGGAUUUCAAGGGUCGCAGCGUGGAUACACGUUUGCUCCCUACCAGUCUUUGACUGUUACUGUGAGAAAAUUAGAGUGUUUCAAGCAGGCUUACGCCCGAAUACAUUAGCAUGGAAUAACGAAUGUGUCUAGAAUCUUGGUUAAUUCUAGAUAACGAUUAAUAGGGACAGUUGGGGGCAUUAGUAUUUAAUUGUCAGAGGUGAAAUUCUUGGAUUUGUUAAAGACUAACGAAUGCGAAAGCAUUUGCCAAAGAUGUUUUCA